GACGAACGCUGGCGGCGUGCCUAAUACAUGCAAGUAGAACGCUGAAGAGAGGAGCUUCCUCUUCUUGGAUGAGUUGCGAACGGGUGAGUAACGCGUAGGUAACCUGCCUUGUAGCGGGGGAUAACUAUUGGAAACGAUAGCUAAUACCGCAUAACAAUGGAUGACACAUGUCAUUUAUUUGAAAGGGGCAAUUGCUCCACUACAAGAUGGACCUGCGUUGUAUUAGCUAGUAGGUGAGGUAAUGGCUCACCUAGGCGACGAUACAUAGCCGACCUGAGAGGGUGAUCGGCCACACUGGGACUGAGACACGGCCCAGACUCCUACGGGAGGCAGCAGUAGGGAAUCUUCGGCAAUGGGGGCAACCCUGACCGAGCAACGCCGCGCGAGUGAAGAAGGUUGUCGGAUCGUAAAGCUCUGUUGUAAGUCAAGAACGGGUGUGAGAGUGGAAAGUUCACACUGUGACGGUAGCUUACCAGAAAGGGACGGCUAACUACGUG
This 497-nucleotide ribosomal RNA is filed under the name uncultured bacterium. RNAcentral describes it as "partial 16S ribosomal RNA". It matches the Rfam family "Bacterial small subunit ribosomal RNA", at positions 28 to 507 of the family's 1533-position model. The record is from RNAcentral.